GGGCAGGUAUGCAAGUGGUUAAAGCUUAUGGACUGUAAAUCCAUCCUCGUUUAGAGUUCGGGGGUUCAAAUCCCUCCCUGCCCC
Molecule: transfer RNA, 84 nt
Filed under: Bacillus atrophaeus
Lineage: Bacteria; Bacillati; Bacillota; Bacilli; Caryophanales; Bacillaceae
Description: tRNA-Tyr
Rfam family: tRNA
About the family: Transfer RNA (tRNA) molecules are approximately 80 nucleotides in length. Their secondary structure includes four short double-helical elements and three loops (D, anti-codon, and T loops).
Source: RNAcentral